UCCUGCAGAGAAACAGUAGGGCAUCGAGACGUGAUCUUCAUGUUAAGAUCAGCGAAGACACUUUAAAGACCCGCGAGACUAAAGAGAUUGGCCACGGAGCAUCUUGCGAUGACACAGAACAUGCGAUUCUUGCAAGACACGCUUUACUUACAACCAAAUAAGAGCACGGGCAGCAACACACUCAGCCGUGUUUUGGUUUUGAGCACACACAGAUCCAGGGCUCUCAGUGCAUUUAAAGUGUAUAAGGACAAUUCGUUAUAGAUGAAAUGUGGACGACUAAGCGAAGAAGAAAGCAGCGUGGAGUAAAGAGACUCAAAAGCGUUGGAGAGACAAAAAAGAAAAAGAAUAAUCUAGGAAAAUUAGAAAGUGUAAAAAAAAAGAAAGUAAAGAUCGCAGUAGCGCAAACAAAUGGAAAUUAUUACUCGAAAAAGGGAAAAUAAUCACAACGGACCAGGUGUCAUUGAAACAAAAGCAGGAUAAAGCGAGAUCAGAAAUAAAAGACAGAGUAGAAAACAAAGUAAAAUGCCAUAAAGAGGUUAAAUAAAAAGGGGGCCAAACACAUGCAGAGCAGGUUAGAGAUAAUGAAAACUGGAAUUCAAAAGAUGUGAAA
Molecule: long non-coding RNA, 610 nt
Organism: Erpetoichthys calabaricus (reedfish)
Lineage: Eukaryota; Metazoa; Chordata; Cladistia; Polypteriformes; Polypteridae
Exons: 2
Source: RefSeq, a predicted model, not a curated record